GUGGGGAAUAUUGCACAAUGGGGGAAACCCUGAUGCAGCAACGCCGCGUGAAGGAUGAAGGUUUUCGGAUUGUAAACUUCUUUAGUCAGGGACGAAUAAAUGACGGUACCUGAAGAAUAAGCCACGGCUAACUACGUGCCAGCAGCCGCGGUAAUACGUAGGUGGCGAGCGUUGUCCGGAAUUACUGGGUGUAAAGGGCGUGUAGGCGGGAAUGUAAGUCAGAUGUGAAAUCCCAGGGCUUAACCCUGGAGCUGCAUCUGAAACUAUGUUUCUUGAGUGUCGGAGAGGAAAGCGGAAUUCCUAGUGUAGCGGUGAAAUGCGUAGAUAUUAGGAGGAACACCAGUGGCGAAGGCGGCUUUCUGGACGAUAACUGACGCUGAGGCGCGAAAGCGUGGGGAGCAAACAGGAUUAGAAACCCUAGUAGUCC
This 427-nucleotide ribosomal RNA is filed under the name uncultured bacterium. RNAcentral's name for it is "bacterial SSU rRNA". It matches the Rfam family "Bacterial small subunit ribosomal RNA", at positions 354 to 796 of the family's 1533-position model. The record is from RNAcentral.